UGUUUUGGAAAAUUAAGAUCUGAAAGUCAUGAGUAAUUUCCAUUGUGCUGGUUAUGAUUCACUGUCACCUUGUAUCUGUCAUUUAGUGAAAUCAACAGCAUCAUUGCAAAAGCUACGAUGCCUUGCCCCAAGCGCAAGUUAAAACCAAAAAUAAGGUUCAAAGUGUCGCAAACAAAACUUUCGCAAACUUUAAAGAAACUAAAAAAACCACUAGAAUUGACAAAUAGUUCGGGAGCAUUUUCAUCCUGCAACAUUAACAUUAUAAAACAGCUGAACACCAACACUUUUCCGCAGCCCAUCGAAUGGAGACAUAACUGGUUGGAAGUUUUUAAAGAUACCAUCACUCGUCACAAUUGGGAAGCAUUCAUAAGGACUCUCAGAUUGGCUUCUCAAAAUAACACAUUUUGUGGCCUGGACAACGUAUUACGGAACUCUUUCUUAAGCAUUCUUACACAUAAAAUCUACAUGGAUAUAAAAGCCUUGCGUUUAUAUUUGUACACAAUUGCACCAUGUCGUAAUGAGCAUGAUAUAGAAUUUUGUAUUAAAACUAUACUGCGGAUAUUCAAUGGCGAUCAAAACAAACCCGUACAAAAAAACGGAGGAAAAACAAUAGAUAGCGCAAGUAAUUCGGAUGUUAUUCAAAGCUAAAUAACAAAUUCGCACAAUGAGAGGUUCACAAUUACGAUACAUUUACUAUUACAAAGCAAACUUAACCAUCUUUAAUUUAGCUUUAAUAUACAAUUGAGAUGAUCAACCGGUAUUAA
Molecule: long non-coding RNA, 764 nt
Organism: Anopheles coluzzii
Lineage: Eukaryota; Metazoa; Arthropoda; Insecta; Diptera; Culicidae
Exons: 2
Source: RefSeq, a predicted model, not a curated record